CUGAUGUAUUCAAUUAACAGGAACCCUUAACACAUUAAAUACCAUGAUCGCGAGAACCCAUUACCCACUAGGUGGGUUCGUUUUGUAUUAGAAAUGGGGCGUUUGACACUGAAAAAUGAAAGUGUUAACUGAACAUAAUAAGCUUUACGAACAGAAAAAGCAGUGAUGUUUAUAAAAUCGAAACUCAAGAUUUGCCAGCGAGCGAAGGCGCGUGGUAUAUUAGGUGUUCGUAGAACUGAUCGAAUCAGAAACACAGAAUUACGCUAUAGAACUCGAGUAGUAGAUGUAGGUGUCAAAACCGCUAAGCUCAAGUGGGACUGGGCUGGACAUGCCUGCCGCGUGCGCCCGGGAAGGUGGGGCAAAAUGGUUACUGAGUGGGACCCACGGAACACCGUAGAUGAUGCAGGACGGGGCACAGGCAGACCGAAAAGGAGAUGGCAGGACGACUUGGACACAUUCUAUGCAAAACGGUGGGAAAAUGCCAAUGACAGGCAAGUGGAGAAAACGAGGGGAGGUCUUUGUCUAGCAGUGGGACGCUAAACUCUUCGACCUUAAAUACAUGAAUGUUCCGUUUAAAUAUAUUUAAGACAUUUGUGUACAGUUUUAUGGCAUUAUUCAAAUGUACGCGUACUUUGACUCGUAAUGUGAUGUUAUUAAAGGUUAGAUUUGACAAAUCUGCGCGUCAUCGUGGAUGACACGAACUAACAAACCAUUGGUAAUCGUUUGACCCUAUCCGUCGAUAUGACAUUUCCGUUUGUUAGAAAGAUACAAUAUUUUAACAGAGGUUUGUAAAAGGUUCUUACGUUUUAAUGAAUAACGGGGUUAUUCUUUACAGGGAAUCUAUACAUUUCGAUACUAAAAAGGUAAAUUGUUUACAAUUUGCAUCACGCGUCUUUUUAAAAUUCGCGGCAUGCUCAUGACAAACGUCCCAAGCUAAGUAUCUCCGAGGCUUUUGGCUGUAACAUGUGACUUGGUACGACAAGGUCCCAUCUCACUGCGAACGUCUCGGCGAGAUGGGAUUUUAUUUAAGAGAAACUGUGAUAAAUCUUUACGCGGUUUACAGCGGCUUAUCUUAAAAGUGUCUCAGUCUUGAUGUCUAUAUGAAAGUUACACGCGGUGGCUAUUAGGGUUGUCAAUUGCAAGACUCGGAAACCGGUUAAAUUUCCAAACCGUUAUCAUGUACUUGGGGCAAAACCUUUUAAUUUCGGUUUUGUUCGUUAAACCGGGUUUUAGGAGAACAUCAAUAAAGUUUUUGUCAGACUAACCGGCUUAGAAAAGUAAAAGCCGGUUUCUUCCUAUGUCGGUGUCUUUGUGUACGCGGCACACCACCAGGCCGGCCGGGCUCGUCGCUCAUCAAAUAAAUCAGUUUAUUUGGGUAACAAUAAAGUUCCUAAAACGCUCGCGUUCUUAUGAAAUUUGGGAGCAAAACCAAAAUAAACCGGUAUUUACCGCUACUUUUAAAAACGUUUAUUUUUAAGCACCUUAAUAAAAAAAGUACUUUUAUUAAAAAGAAAAUGGUACUCACACGAUUUAGGCACCGUGACGCAAGGGUCGGGGUCGUGCUGGGUGGAUGCUAUCUGCCACGACCACGCAUUAUCAAUUCUCAAGCCAACCAAAUUCAUCCCAAUGUACUAUACAAAAGUGUUCAAAUUAAAAAAAGGAAAAUAUUGUAUGGUGGCCCUCACGAGGUUCUUCUUCCUUGUCACCCUCAUGGCUGAAGGACGUGACUGUGGACGCUUCACCAGUGCUCUCCAAGCCGCUCUAUCUUGGGCCAAGUGUAUUCUGUCCGCCCAACGCAUAGCCAUAAGUCCAUCCCUACGCUUCCUUGGCAUGUGGCCAGUAAUUAUGUGCUUUUCCAGACUAUCUGGUCCUGUUACGAGGUUACGAGGCUUAUUAAAUUGACAACCCUACCUCAAAGUACAUUACAGGUGUAUGGAGGUGUGUAUCUUAGCCCUGAAUGGCUGUCAAUCAAACGGAUGGCAUAACAUGCAAAACGAAGAUGGAUCACUUUUGAUCUUACACUCGCUUAUAGGUAAGCCAUGUCGAAUCUUUAGGCCGUACUCGACGUGUUCUGAUGACAGUUCGUGACAUCCCAUUCUUCACCCAUUCGAUUAGUACAAUUGGAGAGGCGAUCGGUCAUAUAAUUUUAGAAAAAGGAGACGUCUGUAGACAACACAAAAAGAGGUUAACACGGGUACAUGUAAAUCACGUUUUCUUAUUUGAGUCUCAAGCGCUGAAAAA
This is a long non-coding RNA of Cydia pomonella (codling moth), 2241 nucleotides long. RefSeq lists it as uncharacterized. The record is from RefSeq and is a predicted model, not a curated record. The transcript is spliced from 2 exons. Lineage: Eukaryota; Metazoa; Arthropoda; Insecta; Lepidoptera; Tortricidae.